AGUGAAAGCUGGCGGUAGGCCUAACACAUGCAAGUCGAACGGCAGCACAGUAAGAGCUUGCUCUUACGGGUGGCGAGUGGCGGACGGGUGAGGAAUACAUCGGAAUCUACUUUUUCGUGGGGGAUAACGUAGGGAAACUUACGCUAAUACCGCAUACGACCUACGGGUGAAAGCAGGGGAUCUUCGGACCUUGCGCGAUUGAAUGAGCCGAUGUCGGAUUAGCUAGUUGGCGGGGUAAAGGCCCACCAAGGCGACGAUCCGUAGCUGGUCUGAGAGGAUGAUCAGCCACACUGGAACUGAGACACGGUCCAGACUCCUACGGGAGGCAGCAGUGGGGAAUAUUGGACAAUGGGCGCAAGCCUGAUCCAGCCAUACCGCGUGGGUGAAGAAGGCCUUCGGGUUGUAAAGCCCUUUUGUUGGGAAAGAAAAGCAGCAGGUUAAUACCCCGCUGUUCUGACGGUACCCAAAGAAUAAGCACCGGCUAACUUCGUG
This 492-nucleotide ribosomal RNA is filed under the name uncultured bacterium. RNAcentral's name for it is "partial 16S ribosomal RNA". It matches the Rfam family "Bacterial small subunit ribosomal RNA", at positions 29 to 507 of the family's 1533-position model. The record is from RNAcentral.